Molecule: non-coding RNA, 112 nt
Organism: Hordeum vulgare subsp. vulgare (domesticated barley)
Lineage: Eukaryota; Viridiplantae; Streptophyta; Magnoliopsida; Poales; Poaceae
Source: Rfam
AUAUUACUCCCUCCGUCCCAAAAUUCUUGUCUUUGAUUUGUCUAGAUAUGAAUAGAUACAUUCAUAUCUAGACAAAUCAAAGACAAGAAUUUUGGGACGGAGGGAGUACAAA